UGGGGAAUCUUGGGCAAUGGAGGGAACUCUGACCCAGCGACGCCGCGUGAAGGAAGACGGUCUUCGGAUUGUAAACUUCUGUUCUUAGUGACAAGGGGAAGAUGGUAGCUAAGGAGGAAGCCCCGGCUAACUACGUGCCAGCAGCCGCGGUAAUACGUAGGGGGCGAGCGUUGUCCGGAAUGAUUGGGCGUAAAGGGCGUGUAGGCGGCUAUUUGUGUCCGAUGUGAAAGUCCAACUUUCAAGGUUGGAAUUGCAUUAGAAACUGGGUAGCUUGAGUGCAGGAGAGGUUAUCGGAAUUCCCGGUGUAGCGGUGAAAUGCGUAGAGAUCGGGAGGAACAUCAGUGGCGAAGGCGGGUAACUGGACUGUAACUGACGCUGAGACGCGAAAGUGUGGGGAGCAAACAGG
Molecule: ribosomal RNA, 406 nt
Filed under: uncultured bacterium
Lineage: Bacteria
Description: bacterial SSU rRNA
Rfam family: Bacterial small subunit ribosomal RNA
Source: RNAcentral